This 65-nucleotide transfer RNA is filed under the name Rhinebothrium sp. 3 DJM-2021. Its description in RNAcentral is "tRNA-Thr". It matches the Rfam family "tRNA". From Rfam's summary of the family: Transfer RNA (tRNA) molecules are approximately 80 nucleotides in length. Their secondary structure includes four short double-helical elements and three loops (D, anti-codon, and T loops). The record is from RNAcentral. Lineage: Eukaryota; Metazoa; Platyhelminthes; Cestoda; Rhinebothriidea; Rhinebothriidae.
GGUCAUCUAGUUUAGUUAUAAAAUACAGGUUUUGUAAAUCUGAGAUAAUGUUAUAUUGUUGGCCU